This 468-nucleotide ribosomal RNA is filed under the name Neoptera sp. 'Dicraeopsis bacillus'. RNAcentral describes it as "Dicraeopsis bacillus partial 16S ribosomal RNA". It matches the Rfam family "Archaeal large subunit ribosomal RNA", at positions 1889 to 2609 of the family's 2987-position model. The record is from RNAcentral. Lineage: Eukaryota; Metazoa; Arthropoda; Insecta.
CGCCUGUUUAACAAAAACAUGUCUUUUUGGUAAUAAUUUAAUGUCGGGCCUGCCCAAUGAUUAUUAAAUGGCCGCAGUAUUUUGACUGUGCAAAGGUAGCAUAAUAAUUAGUUUCUUAAUUAGGAACUGGAAUGAAAGGUUUGAUGAGGGACCAGCUGUCUCUUAAUAAAUUUGUUAGAAUUUUAUUUUUGAGUAAGAAAGCUUAAAUAUUCCAUGAAGACGAGAAGACCCUAUAGAGUUUAAUAAAUAUUUUGGUUUCAUUUUGUUUGAUUUGUGAUUUUGACUUAAAUAUCUAUUUUGUUGGGGUGAUAGUAAAAUUAGAGAAACUUUUACUUAUUUUUACGUUUAUUAACGGUUUAUUGAUCCUUAAUUAAGGAUUAUCAGACUAAAUUACCUUAGGGAUAACAGCGUUAUUUUUCCUUAGAGUUCUUAUUGACGGGGAAGUUUGCGACCUCGAUGUUGGAUUAA